Molecule: ribosomal RNA, 465 nt
Filed under: uncultured bacterium
Lineage: Bacteria
Description: partial 16S ribosomal RNA
Rfam family: Bacterial small subunit ribosomal RNA
Source: RNAcentral
GACGAACGCUGGCGGCGUGCUUAACACAUGCAAGUCGAACGGAAAGGCCCUGCUUGCAGGGUACUCGAGUGGCGAACAGGUGAGUAACACGUGGGUGAUCUGCCCCGCACUCCGGGAUAAGCCUGGGAAACUGGGUCUCAUACCGGAUAGGAGCCAUCUUUAGUGUGAUUGUUGGAAAGUUUUUUCGGUGUAGGAUGAGAUCGCGGCCUAUCAGUUUGUUGGUGGGGUAAUGGCCUACCAAGGCGGCGACGGGUAGCCGGCCUGGGGGGGUGGACGGCCACAUUUGGACUGGGAUUCGGGCCAGACUCCUACGGGAGGCAGCAGGGGGGGAUAUUGCACAAAUGGCGCAAGCCUGAUGCAGCGACGCCGCGGGGGGGAUUACGGCCUUCGGGUUGGAAACCCCUUUCGCUAUGGACGAAGCUUUUUGUGACGGUACCGAGAUAAGAAGCACCGGCUAACUACGUG